This 651-nucleotide ribosomal RNA is filed under the name Bacillus tequilensis. RNAcentral describes it as "bacterial SSU rRNA". It matches the Rfam family "Bacterial small subunit ribosomal RNA", at positions 45 to 686 of the family's 1533-position model. The record is from RNAcentral. Lineage: Bacteria; Bacillati; Bacillota; Bacilli; Caryophanales; Bacillaceae.
UGCCUAAUAAUGCAGUCGAGCGGACAGAUGGGAGCUUGCUCCCUGAUGUUAGCGGCGGACGGGUGAGUAACACGUGGGUAACCUGCCUGUAAGACUGGGAUAACUCCGGGAGACCGGGGCUAAUACCGGAUGGUUGUUUGAACCGCAUGGUUCAAACAUAAAAGGUGGCUUCGGCUACCACUUACAGAUGACCCGCGGCGCAUUAGCUAGUUGGUGAGGUAAUGGCUCACCAAGGCAACGAUGCGUAGCCGACCUGACGGGUGAUCGGCCACACUGGGACUGAGACAGGCCUCACUCCGACGGGAGGCAGCGUCGGGAAUCUUGGCAAUGGACGAACGUCUGACUGAGCGCGCGGCGUGAGUGAUGAAGGUUUUCGGAUCGUAAACUUCUGUUGUUAGCGAAGAACAAGUACGGUUCGAAUAGGGCGGUACCUUGACGGGUACAUAACCAAAAAGCCACGGCUAACUACGUGGCAGCAGCCGCGGUAAUACGUAGGUGGCAAGCGUUGUCCGGAAUUAUUGGGCGUAAAGGGCUCGCAGGCGGUUUCUUAAGUCUGAUGUGAAAGCCCCCGGCUCAACCGGGGAGGGUCAUUGGAAACUGGGGAACUUGAGUGCAGAAGAGGAGAGUGGAAUUCCACGUGUAGCGGUGAAA